RNAcentral lists this long non-coding RNA (951 nucleotides) under Trifolium pratense (red clover). Its description in RNAcentral is "long non-coding RNA (TPRA_LNC008139)". The record is from RNAcentral. Lineage: Eukaryota; Viridiplantae; Streptophyta; Magnoliopsida; Fabales; Fabaceae.
GUGUGAAACAAAUCAUAAGAGCAUGCAACAACAUAAUUUCCUUUUUAUUUUAAUUAACUUUUGUUUCUUCUUUACAUAAAUAUACAUUCACAAACCACUAAUUUUGUCCAAUACUUGUGAUCUUCCCAAUACAUCCACAAACCCCAGAUUCGGGCUUUAUAAAUGUGGGUGCCGGAAUCCAAAACGCGCAGACUGGUUUAGUGUCAGCUUCAAUACACACAUGAUCUCGACAAUCCUCAUGAUUUUGGCACCCAACUAAUAAGAAUUAAGGAACGUUAUCAUAAUGGGGGUGAAAUAAUUUGAAUAAGAAAAUUUAAAGGUAAAAAUUAUUAGGAAUCUUUAUACAAAUAUCAAAUUUAGACAAACAUUAUUUAAAAUUUUAAUUUAUUUUGAUAAAAAUUAGGGUUAAACNNNNNNNNNNNNNNNNNNNNNNNNNNNNNNNNUAUUUUAUUUGAUAACUUUUGAUUCCUAUUUUUAAGUCAACUUAUGUAUACUUCGAUAUUUUUGAAUAAAUUUUUCUAUUUUUGUUUAUAAUAAUAUAAAAAUCUCUUUCACAAUGAUUUAGAAUUUUUUAAAUUAGGUGAAUUAAAUAUGAUUUUUCUAAGCGCAAAAAUCUUAGAAAUUCAUAUCUAAUUCAUCCAUUAUGUUGUAAAAAACUAAAUCUUGGAGGGAGAGAUUAAAAUUUUCUGUUGGAACUAAGAAAACAUUUGACGUAUUUAUAGGGAUAAAAUAUUUAUUUAACCCUAUAUAUUAAUAUAAAAACAUGAUAUCAAAUUUACUGAAAUUUUUUGUUGGAACUAAGAAAACAUUUGACGUAUUUAUAGGGAUAAAAUAUUUAUUUAACCCUAUAAAUUAAUAUAAAAACAUGAUAUUAAAUUUUGUAUUGAAAUACCAGUAUACUAUAUCAAACUAAAGUUUGAAAGCAAAUGUAAAAGCGAUGAUAAAAAUUAC